This 483-nucleotide ribosomal RNA is filed under the name uncultured bacterium. RNAcentral's name for it is "partial 16S ribosomal RNA". It matches the Rfam family "Bacterial small subunit ribosomal RNA", at positions 30 to 507 of the family's 1533-position model. The record is from RNAcentral.
UUGAACGCUGGCGGCAGGCCUAACACAUGCAAGUCGAGCGGAUGAAGGGAGCUUGCUCCUGGAUUCAGCGGCGGACGGGUGAGUAAUGCCUAGGAGUCUGCCUGGUAGUGGGGGAUAACGUCCGGAAACGGGCGCUAAUACCGCAUACGUCCUGAGGGAGAAAGUGGGGGAUCUUCGGACCUCACGCUAUCAGAUGAGCCUAGGUCGGAUUAGCUAGUUGGUGGGGUAAAGGCCUACCAAGGCGACGAUCCGUAACUGGUCUGAGAGGAUGAUCAGUCACACUGGAACUGAGACACGGUCCAGACUCCUACGGGAGGCAGCAGUGGGGAAUAUUGGACAAUGGGCGAAAGCCUGAUCCAGCCAUGCCGCGUGUGUGAAGAAGGUCUUCGGAUUGUAAAGCACUUUAAGUUGGGAGGAAGGGCAGUAAGUUAAUACCUUGCUGUUUUGACGUUACCAACAGAAUAAGCACCGGCUAACUUCGUG